RNAcentral lists this ribosomal RNA (296 nucleotides) under uncultured microorganism. RNAcentral's name for it is "partial 16S ribosomal RNA". It matches the Rfam family "Bacterial small subunit ribosomal RNA", at positions 505 to 796 of the family's 1533-position model. The record is from RNAcentral.
GUGCCAGCAGCCGCCGGUAAUACGAAAGGGUGCAAGCGUUACUCGGAAUUACUGGGCGGUAAAGCGUGCGUAGGUGGUUGUUUAAGUCUGUCGUGAAAGCCCUGGGCUCAACCUGGGAAAUUGCGAUGGAAACUGGGCGACUAGAGUGUGGCAGAGGGUAGUGGAAUUCCUGGUGUAGCAGUGAAAUGCGUAGAGAUCAGGAGGAACAUCCGUGGCGAAGGCGACUGCCUGGGCCAACACUGACACUGAGGCACGAAAGCGUGGGGAGCAAACAGGAUUAGAUACCCUGGUAGUCC